CCUGCGUGUUUCUCAGGCCUCCUGACUUGCCGUUUCGCCAUUAGGCUGUGGGCCUGGUGGAGGAACCUGGUGGCUGGAAAGAUGUGAUGACGGGGCCUCUGGAUGGCUAGGCCGUCAAUGCCCCGUCACGGGAACAAACUCACCUGGCCUGGAAAGGAAAAGAAAAUGCCCCGGCAACACGGUGGGGAAAGUGUCCUCCUUCAGUAAUCUGUUGCCUUGAGACAAAAGGUAGCACUGGACUGCAAGGAAGUGCACCAGAAAAUGGAUGCCAUUACAGCUAACAGUGUCUCCAGAAUGACAAUUAAACUCUGCCUCCUCAGAAACUCCUCAUGGAAUGACAGUGAAAAAGCUAGUGUUCAAUAUUACCUCACAAAGGACAUGCAGAUCAUUAUUGAAUGGAGCUUGAACACUUAUUUCACACAAAGGAAUAUAACAUGGUCCUUUCCUGUCUAGUGACCAAAUUGGAUAUUGCACCAUGCUGAAGCUGAGUUCAAAAGGAAUAAAUCCAGAAUCCAUUUUAACAUCACUUCAUAUCUUAUGUGACCUUCAUCUCCCACCUCCAAGUUUAGGAUCAUGUUCCCACUCAAUCCAGACUCUGCUUUGAUUGCAUUUUAGGGUAUCCAGAUGUUCAUUUUUGGUCAAUAUGAUUGACAUGAAAUCCAUCUUAAUGAGAAGAGAGAACUCCAAACAUUAUCAAUUACCAGGUUGAGACAUUUUAAGUCUACAAUAUUGCGUU
Molecule: long non-coding RNA, 736 nt
Organism: Trichosurus vulpecula (common brushtail)
Lineage: Eukaryota; Metazoa; Chordata; Mammalia; Diprotodontia; Phalangeridae
Exons: 4
Source: RefSeq, a predicted model, not a curated record